UGCAAGUCGAGCGAGAAAUUUACUUCGGUAAAUGGACAGCGGCGAAAGGGACAGUAAUGUGUAGGUACCUACCCUCUGAUCUGGGAUAGCUGCGGGAAACUGCAGGUAAUACCGGAUAAUGUCUUCGGACCAAAGGUGUGAUUCCGUCUGAGGAGGGGCCUGCAUCCUAUUAGCUUGUUGGUGAGGUAAUGGCUCACCAAGGCAACGAUGGGUAGCGGGUGUGAGAGCAUGACCCGCGUCAUUGGGACUGAGACACUGCCCAGACAUCUACGGAUGGCUGCAGUCGAGAAUCUUCGGCAAUGGGCGAAAGCCUGACCGAGCGACGCCGCGUGCGGGAUGAAGGCCCUCGGGUUGUAAACCGCUGUCGUUGGGGAGGAAAUGCAGGAGGGCUAUCCCUCUUGUUUGACCGAUCCAAG
This 416-nucleotide ribosomal RNA is filed under the name uncultured Planctomycetales bacterium. RNAcentral describes it as "bacterial SSU rRNA". It matches the Rfam family "Bacterial small subunit ribosomal RNA", at positions 56 to 482 of the family's 1533-position model. The record is from RNAcentral. Lineage: Bacteria; Pseudomonadati; Planctomycetota; Planctomycetia; Planctomycetales.